RNAcentral lists this ribosomal RNA (301 nucleotides) under uncultured bacterium. RNAcentral's name for it is "partial 16S ribosomal RNA". It matches the Rfam family "Bacterial small subunit ribosomal RNA", at positions 509 to 809 of the family's 1533-position model. The record is from RNAcentral.
CAGUAGCCGCGGUAACACGGAGGGAGCUAGCGUUGUUCGGAAUUACUGGGCGUAAAGCGCGCGUAGGCGGUUACUCAAGUCAGAGGUGAAAGCCCGGGGCUCAACUCCGGAACUGCCUUUGAAACUAGGUGACUAGAAUCUUGGAGAGGUCAGUGGAAUUCCGAGUGUAGAGGUGAAAUUCGUAGAUAUUCGGAAGAACACCAGUGGCGAAGGCGACUGACUGGACAAGUAUUGACGCUGAGGUGCGAAAGCGUGGGGAGCAAACAGGAUUAGAUACCCCGGUAGUCCCUGUCUCUUAUAA